UGUAUGGCUAGUCGGUCGCUAGCAUUUUACAUAGCAACCAAACGUUACGGUUAGCAACAUAAUGAUCCGUUUAUAACUUCAUGUCUCUUGUGUUCAUAAAAACAAAAGCGUUGAAGACCGGAUUGGCGUCCGAGUGUCCGAGUCCAAACCCAGUGUGUUUCUUUCCACGUCGAUAUCUGGCCGGGUCUUUUGUAUGGAUCGAUUCAUGCUGUGCAAGUGAAUUCAGCUGCUGUGCGAUCGCCUUCAAGUACCACCGUGAAGGCGAACCCCAACAGCUGUGGCGAGCCUGGCCUUCAGAUAAGAACUGUUGAUAUAACUGAAUGAAUGAGAUUCUUUUCUUUUGUUUUGUUUUGUUUUCUUCUUCUUUUGUAAUACACUGUAUUCAACAUUUCAUGCUAUAAGCUUAGCUUCUAUUACCUGUCCUAUUUAAAUAUUUCUAUCUACUCACCCGGGUGAUUUGGCCUAGUUGUCUAUUGGAAUAUAUCUGGUGAAUGUAGUUGCAGAUUUAACCGUCUGCAACAUAUAUUUUUAUUUUUAAUUAUUUAUUUUAUUUGAAUCUGCAGAUUCUGUUUUGUUUAUCUGAUUGUUGUUUGUUUAUGUCCAUCUUAUUGGACAGAUAGCCUAAGUACACUAAGUUAUUCACUCACCAAUUUAUGAAAUAUUAAUACUCCCCUACUUAUCAUCUUGAUUAUUCUUAAUACAAUAUUUCUAACUUACAAA
Molecule: long non-coding RNA, 720 nt
Organism: Engraulis encrasicolus (European anchovy)
Lineage: Eukaryota; Metazoa; Chordata; Actinopteri; Clupeiformes; Engraulidae
Exons: 2
Source: RefSeq, a predicted model, not a curated record